AACGAACGCUGGCGGCAGGCCUAACACAUGCAAGUCGAGCGAGAUCUUCGGGUCUAGCGGCGGACGGGUGAGUAACGCGUGGGAAUAUGCCUCUUGGUACGGAAUACCCUCGGGAAACUGGGAGUAAUACCGUAUGUGCUCUUUUGGGGAAAGAUUUAUCGCCAAGGGAUUAGCCGGCGUUGGAUUAGGUAGUUGGUGGGGUAAUGGCCUACCAAGCCGAGGAUCCAUAGCUGGGUUGAGAGGAUGAGCCGCCACACUGGGACUGAGACACGGCCCAGACUCCUACGGGAGGCAGCAGUGGGGAAUCUUAGACAACGGGGGCAACCCUGAUCUAGCCAUGCCGCGUGAGUGAUGAAGGCCUUAGGGUUGUAAAGCUCUUUAAGCUGGGAAGAUAAUGACGGUACCAGCAGAAGAAGCCCCGGCUAACUCCGUG
This 433-nucleotide ribosomal RNA is filed under the name uncultured bacterium. RNAcentral's name for it is "partial 16S ribosomal RNA". It matches the Rfam family "Bacterial small subunit ribosomal RNA", at positions 29 to 507 of the family's 1533-position model. The record is from RNAcentral.